GAUGAAGAACGUAGCGAAAUGCGAUACGUAAUGUGAAUUGCAGAAUUCAGUGAAUCAUCGAAUCUUUGAACGCAUAUUGCGCUCUCUGGUAUUCCGGAGAGCAUGCUUGUUUGAGUAUCAGUAAACACCUCAACUUCCAUAUCUUUUUUGAAAUGGGAGUUGGACUUGAGUGAUCCCAACGCUUUUCCUCACCGAAAAGUGGCGGGUUACUUGAAAUGCAGGUGCAGCUGGACUUUUCUCUGAGCUAUAAGCAUAUCUAUUUAGUCUGCCUAAAAAACAGAUUAUUACCUUUGCUGCAGCUAACAUAAAGGAGAUUAGUUCUUGUGCUGACUGAUGCAGGAUUCACAAAGACGGCUUCGGCCGACUUUGUAAACUUGAUCUCAAAUCAAGUAAGACUACCCGCUGAACUUAAGCAUAUCAAUAAGCGGAGGA
Molecule: unclassified non-coding RNA, 432 nt
Filed under: soil metagenome
Description: partial contains 5.8S ribosomal RNA, internal transcribed spacer 2, and large subunit ribosomal RNA
Rfam family: 5.8S ribosomal RNA (bases 1-120)
Source: RNAcentral